AAGGUCCCAAGGGUUUGGCUGUUCGCCAAUUAAAGUGGUACGCGAGCUGGGUUCAGAACGUCGUGAGACAGUUUGGCCUCUAUCCUCCGUGAUCCCCUAGAAACGUGAAGGAAGCUGCUCCUAGUACGAGAGGACCGGAGUGGACGAACCUCUGGUGUACCUGCUGUCGUGUCAACGGCACCGCAGGAUAGCUACGUUCGGCAGGGAUAACCGCUGAAGGCAUCUAAGUGGGAAGCCCCUCCUAAGAUUGCGUUUCUCCAUCAGUCCGCCGGAAGACGACCGGUUAGAUCGGCCACAGGUGUACGCACGGUGACGUGCUUAGCCGAGUGGUACGAAUGG
This 339-nucleotide ribosomal RNA is filed under the name Candidatus Peregrinibacteria bacterium CG22_combo_CG10-13_8_21_14_all_49_11. Its description in RNAcentral is "bacterial LSU rRNA". It matches the Rfam family "Bacterial large subunit ribosomal RNA", at positions 2559 to 2907 of the family's 2925-position model. Lineage: Bacteria; Candidatus Peregrinibacteriota. The record is from RNAcentral.